UGGGGAAUAUUGCACAAUGGGCGCAAGCCUGAUGCAGCCAUGCCGCGUGUAUGAAGAAGGCCUUCGGGUUGUAAAGUACUUUCAGCGGGGAGGAAGGGAGUAAAGUUAAUACCUUUGCUCAUUGACGUUACCCGCAGAAGAAGCACCGGCUAACUCCGUGCCAGCAGCCGCGGUAAUACGGAGGGUGCAAGCGUUAGUCGGAAUUACUGGGCGUAAAGCGCACGCAGGCGGUUUGUUAAGUCAGAUGUUAAAUCCUCGGGCUCAACCUGGGAACUGCAUCUGAUACUGACAAGCUUGAGUCUCGUAGAGGGGGGUAGGAUUACAGGUGUAGCGGUGAAAUGCGUAGAGAUCUGGAGGAAUACCGGUGGCGAAGGCGGCCCCCUGGACGGAGAAUGACGCUCAGGUGCGAAAGCGUGGGGAGCAAACAGG
This 429-nucleotide ribosomal RNA is filed under the name Chloroflexota bacterium. RNAcentral describes it as "Chloroflexi bacterium partial 16S ribosomal RNA". It matches the Rfam family "Bacterial small subunit ribosomal RNA", at positions 355 to 776 of the family's 1533-position model. The record is from RNAcentral. Lineage: Bacteria; Bacillati; Chloroflexota.